Long non-coding RNA from Meriones unguiculatus (Mongolian gerbil), 2575 nucleotides. RefSeq lists it as uncharacterized. The transcript is spliced from 5 exons. The record is from RefSeq and is a predicted model, not a curated record. Lineage: Eukaryota; Metazoa; Chordata; Mammalia; Rodentia; Muridae.
CUAGUGAGAAGAGAUCUUCCAGGCCAGGCAGCGGGAGGGGGAGCCAGAGCUGGGGCCUGGCUGCCUGCGCUUAUCUGCUCUGUCACCAGCUCCCCAGAGCCGGCACUCUGCCCAUUCCAGGAGGAGAGCAGUUGGUCAAGGACCUAGGAACAGACCCCGUAGGGAGAAAUGGACUGAUGGCUAUUGCUCUCAAGACGGAGGAGCUCUCUGGUAUGGAUGGUCUGAGAGGCAGAAGGAGAGAUGGUAGAGUAAAAAAAAAUAAAAAUAAAAAAAGGUGGGGCAGCCUCUUCAGGUAGGUGGUGAGUGCCUCAAAGGCAAGGCAGGCCGCAGGCUGGUGCACAGAAAAGAAGAACUGAGAACCGGUGGGGAGAACUUGCAGUGCCGGAUUGCAGUGCGCUGCCACACUUCCUCUGUCUCCCCAGUGCUGGAUUGCAGUGCCGGAUUGCAGUGCGCUGCUACACUUUCUAACUCCCCAGUGCCGGAUUGCAGUGCGCUGCUACACUUUCUAACUCCCCAGUGCCGGAUUGCAGUGCCGGAUUGCAGUGCGCUGCCACACUUCCUCUGUCUCCCCAGUGCUGGAUUGCAGUGCGCUGCCACACUUCCUCUGUCUCCCCAGUGCUGGAUUGCAGUGCUGGAUUGCAGUGCGCUGCCAUACUACUUCUGUCUCCCCAGUGCCGGAUUGCAGUGCGCUGCCACACCACACCUAUCUUUUCACCCGGAUGCUGGGGGAUCUGAAUUCAACUCCUUAUCCCUACACAGAGCAGAGUCUCUCAGCAGAGUGGACACAGGCUCUUGAAGCUGUUCUUCAGCCUGCUGACUCCAGGUGCUGGAGAGGAACCCAGGAACCCAGGUCAGGAAGACACAGUUCACUGGAAGAGGGGCCAGGACUGUGCCUGUCUGUCUGCCUAUCUGUCCGUAUACUCACCAGAAGACAGCCAAAUUCCAGGCCUGGCCUGGGCUGUCAGACCGGCAGGGUGGGACUUGCUCCAGAUGCUCCCAGCUGGAGGUUGGUUGGCACCAACAUGGCGUCCUCUUGGGGUUGUCUCGCUCUCUGAAUGCACCAUGGGCUUGGGCCUCUGGACAUUGGCUGUUGGGAUUUUCACUCAGUGCAGACUGACCUUGAACACCCUGUGUAGACGAGAAUGAACUUGAACUCUUGAUACCUUCUACCUCUACCUCCCCAUUGCUGGGAUUACAGGCCAGGGGCCACUACUGUCACGUCCUGUCUGCUCAGCACUGAGGAGGGAACCCAGGCUUUCAUCCCUGGUCCUCGUUCAUUGGGCAGUUGUGAACGCCAGCUGCACCUUCAACCCUGAAAAAUCUAUAAUAGCUGCCUCUUCUGUUGGCUUGCGAGCAGGCUUUCUCCUCAGGAGCCUAUCCUCCCUGGCCUUCCCCCGAGAGCCCUCAGGAUGCAGCCAGAACCUUGGAUGGCUGCUAAAUAAUAAACCAGCCCCCAACAGCACAGCUCCACAGCGACACUUAGUUCCCAGUUGUGGGAAGUUAAGAUCAAGGGUUAGUGAUCAGUGUCCUCCUUGGAAGGAGGGUCUGCCUAGACCCUGCCUCUUAGCUUAUGGACAGUUGUCUAUAGCUUUCCCUAUGUCCCAGUUUCCUCUUCUAAGAACUGCACUCCUACAAGAGCCUGACGUGUGAUCUCAUUUAAAAAGACCACAUUGUCUCCAAAUUCAGUCACUCAGUGAUGUGAUGGGGCUAAGAACAUUAGCAUAUGCCUUCUGCGGAUCUAAUCCCAAAUAACACAACGUGCAGUAAAAAGUGACCGAGUGUGUCAGCCAUUGACUAUCAGUUUUGCAUUCCCUCUCUCCUUUAUCCCCCUCCUUCUUUCCUUCCCUCCCUCCCUUCCUUCCUUCCGCAGAAGACUCAGUUUUGCAGUCCCUCCAUCCUUCUUUUCUUUUUCCCUCCCUCCUCCCUCCCUUCCUUCAGACGCUGUCUCUCCUAGCCUGACAGCUGCGAAUUUGUUGAUUGUCUCAGAGUGGCUUUACCUGACCCUCCUGCCUCUGUCUCUCAAAUGCUGAGACCAUAGCGUCUUCCACCACCCUAGUUUAUGUGGCAUUGUGAACUGAACACAGGGCUUCAUGCACACUGGACAAGCACUUUAUCACCUGAGCUGCAACCCCAGCCCUGUUUGGUUUUGUUUGAGAGAAAGAAUGUCAUUUAGCCCAGGCUAACCUUGAAUUGUGUAGUGAGAGAAAGCCUUGAACUUCUGAUCUUCUUGCCUCCACCUCUCCAUUGCUGGGGUAACAAGCAUGUACUACUAUGCCCAGUUUUUUGUUUCGUUGAGCAUCAAUUUUUUUUCUUUUUGUUUAUUUGUUUUUCAAGAGAGGUUUCUUUGUGUAGCCCUGGCUGUACUGGGAUUUGAUCUAUAGACCAGACUGGUCUCAAACUUGCAGAGAUCCAUGUGCCUCUGGCUCUCAAGCGCUGGGAUUAAAGCAUUGUACCAACACCACCUGAAAUUUAUAUGCGUGUGUGUUUAUUAUUUUUUAAUGUUCAUUGGUGUUUUGCUUACAUGUAUGUCUGUGUGAAUGUAUCAGAAGCCCUAGAACUGGAGUUACAGACAAGU